Molecule: ribosomal RNA, 448 nt
Filed under: uncultured bacterium
Lineage: Bacteria
Description: bacterial SSU rRNA
Rfam family: Bacterial small subunit ribosomal RNA
Source: RNAcentral
UGGGGAAUAUUGGACAAUGGGCGAAAGCCUGAUCCAGCAAUGCCGCGUGAGUGAUGAAGGCCUUAGGGUUGUAAAGCUCUUUUUACCAGGGAUGAUAAUGACAGUACCUGGAGAAUAAGCUCCGGCUAACUCCGUGCCAGCAGCCGCGGUAAUACGGAGGGAGCUAGCGUUGUUCGGAAUUACUGGGCGUAAAGCGUACGUAGGCGGUGACUCAAGUCAGAGGUGAAAGCCUGGAGCUCAACUCCAGAACUGCCUUUGAUACUGGCUGUCUCGAGGUCGAGAGAGGUUGGUGGAAUUCCUAGUGUAGAGGUGAAAUUCGUAGAUAUUAGGAAGAACACCAGUGGCGAAGGCGGCCAACUGGCUCGAUACUGACGCUGAGGUGCGAAAGCGUGGGGAGCAAACAGGAUUAGAUACCCAAGUAGUCCCUGAGCGGGCUGGCAAGGCGCAU